Molecule: long non-coding RNA, 5151 nt
Filed under: Sus scrofa (pig)
Lineage: Eukaryota; Metazoa; Chordata; Mammalia; Artiodactyla; Suidae
Description: lncRNA (ENSSSCG00000046725.1)
Source: RNAcentral
UUUUUUUUUUUUUUUUUUUUUUUGUCUUUUUGCCAUUUCAUGGGCCGCUCCAGCAGCAUAUGGAGAUUCCCAGACUAGGAGUUGAAUCGGAGAUGUAGCCGCCGGCCUAUGCCAGGGCCACAGCAAUGCAAGAUCCGAGCCGCGUCUGCAACCUACACCACAGCUCACGGCAAUGCCGGAUCAUUAACCCACUGAGCAAGGGCAGGGACCGAACCCGCAACCUCAUGGUUCCUAGUCGGAUUCAUUAACCACUGCGCCAUGACAGGAACUCCAAGAAAUGGCUGGGGGCACUGUUGUGGCAUGAGUUUGAUCCCUGGCCCAGGAAAUUCCACAUACCAUAAAUGCUGCCAAAUUAAAUAAAUAAAAAUAUGGUUUUGAGAGCAGUCCAUCCUAGGAAAACAGUGCCAGUGCUUAACCAAUAUUCUCCAUCUGAAGGUAAGAUAAAUAAGUAUUUUAAACAAAAUUUAUCUAUACCAGUGUACCACAUUUUUUGUAAUUGUGCCCAAGAAAACAAAAUUGUAUGUUUCUCCACCUGUACAGUUCAAAUAACUCUUCCACUACCUUUUUUACUUCUUGUUUUCUUUAUUUAUUUUACAUUCUCCAUGGACCACUAAUGCGCUUAAAUAAUGUAUUGACUUAAUGUGACUCUUUAGAUUCCUUCAGAAAAUAAAGAGUUCCUCCGGAAGCCAAAGACCAAUGUUUCAGUUCAAAUAUUUCAUCCUUCCCCUGGGUCUGGAAGGCUCAAUAUCUAUUUAUUAACAUAAUUUUAAAAGAUGAUCUUGAGUAUAAUUUAAAGUUCAUAGGUGAUACUUGGGAUUUGUAUUUAAAUGAACAGUUCUGUAGUAGCUUGAAGUUCACCACUUUCUCUAUUUCCUUAAAAACAGUAAUUCUGGGACUCUUGUUGUGGCUCAGCAGAUUAAGGACCCAACAUUGUCUCUAUGAGGAUGCGGGUUCAAUCCCUGGAAUCGCUCUGUGGGUUAAGUAUUUGGCAUUGCCACAAGCUGCAGUGUAGGCUGCAGAUGUGGUUUGGAGCUAUUGUUGCUGUGGUGUAGGCCGGCAUCUGUGGCUCUGAUUUGACCCCCAGCCUGGGAACUUCCAUAAGCUUCAGGCAUGGCUGUAAAAAUAAAAAAUAAAUAAAUAAACAUAAACAAAAAGCAGUAAUUCUAUGUAAAGCAGAAGACAUAAACACACAACUUGCCAACAGGCGGUGAUUUGUAUUUUCCCUUGUUUUGAAAAAGGCAGAGAAGCCUGCAUGCACCACCCACCCCCCACUUCCAGCCACUUCAUUCCUCUGUGUAUCAGGGCUCUUGAUGAAGAGAGAAUUCACACAUUCAUUCAGCACAAGGUAAAAAUGGGUCAGUGCCUGACUGGAUCCUCUUGCAGAGCGGGAUACUCUUGAAAACUCGUUAAAUUUCAUGUUGAUAUUCUGUUCAUACCUGAAUCUGAGUGGUGGGGGUGGUGCUUACCAGGCCGGAGGAUAACAAUGAGAAAGGAGGCUCAAGAAGAGGGAGAGAAAUAAGAGAAACCUCCAUGGGGUAAAGGACACUUAGAAUUGUUCAUUAGAGCAUAUCUACUAUAAUCUCUUCACUAUGAAAAUAAAGGGAGAGGGAUAAAUUGGAAAUUUGGGAUUACCAGAUGCAUACAACUAUACAUAUAGUAGAUAAUAAAGACCUAUUGCAUGCUAUAUACUUGAAUUACUUUGCUGUAUACUUGAAUCAUUGUAAGUCACCUGUUUUUCAAUAAAAAUAAAGAAAUUUUAGCUCAAAAGAAAGAAUUGAAAGGGAAGAAAGAAGGAGGUUGACUUAUGGCAGAAUGGGAUUUGCAUAAGAUUGUAAAUGUAAUUAUCAUCUGAUCAUUUAUGAAACGUGAGGUCCCCUAGUACAGAGUUUGCUUUGAAACAACUUACAUCUUUUUGGUUUUGCUUGUGUAACUGGGAGGUUUAUCUGGGAAAUGUUUAGGAGUAGAUAUUUGAUACUUUGAUGUAACUAUAUCGGGUACCCCCACAAAAAUCCUAGUAGGAGGAAAGAAUUGGUUCCUUGCCAUCCAAGGGCCAGCUAUGCAUUUGGGGGCAUUCUUAUGCUUUAGUUUCCAUAUCUCUAAUGAAGAGUUUAAUGAUUUUUAAGUUUAAUAUUAGAUGAUAAUUAAGUUCAAUUUUAGAAGUAAAUAACUUGGAAAUAUGGCUUAGACCUCAAAAAUGUUGGCCAUUAUUAGCAUGACUAUGAUGAUUCUUACUUACUGAGUAAGCAAUGGUCCCUGAUUGAACAAGUCCAGGGACCAAAAUUUGUGCCUUCGGUAUCUACAAUAAGGAGGGACUAAACGCAGAGACAAAGAUGGACACCCUUGCUUACAGUCAAAUGUUAUGCAGCCAUUGGAGAUGUCUUACAUCACUGCUCAAACAAGUACUUAGCACAGUCCCUGGUACAUAGGGCCACUCAGGGUGGCCAGACUGGGGAGUGUCUGCUUUGCUCUUCAGUGCUGUCCACUAUCCUCCCAGUUUAUGUGCGAGUCUCUCUUUUGAUGGAGGAAGCACACACUGAACUGUCUAGGAAGACUCCCACUGGCUUAGGUUUGCUGCACAUCUCUAGGAUUUGCUCUUUACUUCAUCUAUCACUUUAAUUAUCCUGGUAAACUUCUCUUCCAAUUAUUUUCUCUUUUUUCCUCUGCCUAUUUUCCACAGUCUUCUUCUGUCAUUGAGUUCACUCUUUCCAUUCCCUGGGGCUGGACACCCUGUCUUCUCUUAGUCUGUUGACACUGAGGCACAGGUAUCCUGUAUUGCCCAGCUACCUAUCGGCAGGGAUGUAUUCCCUUUUGCUAACCAUCUGCAGAAUGGGAAGGCCCGUUGCUUUGUGUAGCUGGUUUAUCGGAAACUGAUGGAAACCUAUAGAGAAGAACCAGGGCCUCCUCCUGUGUUGGUCUGUAGGCAUCCCACUUGGCCCCAGCAAAGCAGAGUGAAACCCAAAGGCUUGUUUCACACUUGACCUUUAGGCUGACCUGUAGGAUUUAUCCCCUGGUGAACCUCAUGCUAUUUAGGUAUUUUCUUCAAGACAUAGGAGCUACUGAAAGCUUCUAGAAAGCUUUGCAUUUUUUAAAAUGGAAGUAAAAGUUAAUAUUUUUAAAUAGUUGCCAUAUCAUGACUCACUGUUUUGACAUCGCACUGAAAUAAUUUAUGAGUGUUUUACAUCUUUACAUUUAAAUACAUCUGAUACCUCUUUGAAGCAGCUAAAAACUGUUCCAGACCCAGUACCAGCUGUCAUGUGAAUAGGGAUUAUUCUUUGGGGACAAGGAAUGGAGGACAUCUCCCGACCCUCUGAUUCAUUUAUUUAUAAAAAGAUUGUGUGUCGCUCAUUUUCCUUGAUCUUUUAUAUAUAGUAGAAUCCAGCUUGCAAAUUUAUAGGGCUUAGAUGAUUUUCUUAAAAAAAUUACUGAAUUAAAUUCUGGAAUAAAACUUUAAUUUUAUUGGCAUUUAAUGGAAUUCUUUUCACUGUGGAGCAAAACAAAAGAUACUUUUAAUUCUCUAUCAAAUCGUUAACCUUGGUAUUUGAACUAACUGAAAGUACCAUCUUGCACAAUCUCAAGACCUCCUUGAAGGCAAAACAUUGUAUUAUCAUCAUCUUUAUUUCACCCCAGAGUGUCUAGGAAAGCAAGACCACAGCUGAUAAAAAAUCAGUUUGCUAAUGAACUGCAUUUAAGUUGUAGCAGAGAGAUGCUCAAAUGACACCUCCUAGGAACUGAAAAAAGAAAAUUGUUUUAUUUUUCACUGCCUCUUAAAUCUGCAGUUUCACUGUUUCUUUCCCCUCCUCUUUUCUAGACAGCUCUCAAUCUCCAGAUGUCCUUUUCAUGGAGACACUUAUAGUUCCUGUCUGGUGAUCUAGGAAAGUUCAAUUCUGUCUUCAGAACAUCUUUACCCUUGGCAUGCCUGCCAGUAUGGGCUCCCUCCUGCUGAGCACAUUUUCUCCUCUUUUUCACAUAAGUCCAAAUAUCUCCCACUUACAUUUCAAAGAUGUUAGACUAAAAGUGCUGGUGUCUGAAGCUUUCCCCUUUCUUCUGAAGAAACCCUCCAUCACGAAGACAAAUGUACGCAUAUGAGCAUUCUGUCCCAUCAUGGUGCACGUUGACAGCAUUCAAGAUGCCUUUGGAUAAAUUGGUCUGACUCUCAGCUUGAAAAUUCCUUCUCUUUCCCUUCUGCCCAGUGAAUAUGUAUUCAGCUUCCAUUGCUCUAUUCAACUAUCUCUACUUCUGUGCAUCUUUCUCAUUUAUUUUGGUUGGAAAUAGAUAUUUCUUCCAAUGGCCCUCUGCAUAAGCCCCUCUGACAACCUUAUAUCUUGAUGCAUGGUGGUUAAAUAUUCGUAUGCUCCCCCUAUCCCCAGCACAGUCCUGGACUUCUCAAGCAUAAGAAAACUAUCUUAUUCUGUUCUGUAAUCACUACCCAGAAUGAAGUAUGGAUCCUCGUACCCACUGAGCACUUGAUAAUGUCUGUACAACAGAUUUGAGUGUAUAUAGCAUUGGGAUUAUCUGAAGGGAAACACUUGUGAAUGAUAUAGAGUUAACAACUGAUUUUGAAUGAGGUAUAUGCUAAGCUAGAAUUUGAAGAGAAAGAGUUUGUAUAUAGAAAACAAAUGAUACACUGAGUUAAAUUUUAUAUGAGUCUCCACUAACAAGGGUUCUUGUAUUGGUAGUUAAUCAACAAAUGGAAAUGAUUUCUUUUGGAAAAAUUGCAGGAAUUUGGAGUAAUAUAAAAGUUUAAUAUUUUGAAACUUAUUGAAAUGGAAGAUAAAAAUGAAUCACAGUACUGAAAUAAAUGUUGUUAAACAUGUGCUUAUUUCCUCAUAAAAAAGCAGGACUUGAGAUAAUCUUUGAAAGGUAUUAUGAGAUAUUUAUUUUAUUUAUUUUUUUAUGGCAGUAUGCAUGGCCUAUGGAGGUUCUCAGGCCAGGGAUUGAAUUUAAGAUGCAGCUGCGACCUACCCUGCAGUUGUGGCAAUGCUGGAUCUUUUAACCCACUGAACCUCCAUGGCAACCCGAGCUGCUGCAGUCAGAUUCUUAACCCACUGCACAACAGUGGGAACUCCAGAAAUUUCUUGAUUCAAUUUUAUUUGAAACAAAAAUGUAAUUAUAAUGUAUACAUGUAAGGAUAACUUGAUCCCCUUGCUGUAC